This 1057-nucleotide long non-coding RNA is filed under the name Cairina moschata (Muscovy duck). Its description in RNAcentral is "domestica (muscovy Duck (domestic type)) lncRNA (ENSCMMG00000012509.1)". Lineage: Eukaryota; Metazoa; Chordata; Aves; Anseriformes; Anatidae. The record is from RNAcentral.
GGCUGUCAAAUACCCUGGCUAGAUUUUUUGGACAAGGUGUGGUCAUUGAUCACCUGCCUGCGUUGUGAGGGUGCGUUUGCCGGUGGUUUUGUGUGGCCAGGACUCACACAGUGCAUUUUUCUAGCCUCCUGCUCCCCCUUUGCUGCUGUUUGCACUUCUGUGAUGCACACUUGUCUCUGUUCUCCAUCUGAUCUUGCAGCGAGCAACGUGAGAGGCCUUGGGCUCAGCGUGUGUGCUCCGCAGAGCUCAGCUGCACCUUGAGAAGGUGAGGGGACAAAAUUCGAUCUCCACCACUUGCGUCACGUGCUGAGAUUGACUGGAGGGCAGCUGCCGCAGCCGCUAAUAACUGCAUCCCACCGGUGUGCUGCGCAGGUCUCGCUGUCUCUGGCUGUGCUCCCAGUGCUGAGAGAGGAGGAGGAGGUGAGGAGCAUCCAGACCAUGGGAGAGGUAAUUCCUGGGCUCAUGGAGCUGCUUGGGACUGACAUGGCCUCGCUGGGCAUCACCGUACCCCAUCCAUCUCCCAUCCAGCCUGCCCUGCCACCCCAAGCAGAGGGAGCAGGACUCCACGCGAAGCCGCUGGAGAUGGGCAGGUCUUCAGGAACUUUGCAGCUCCUCCCCAAGCCCCCGUGUCCUUCCUCUUCGCCCCCCUCUCCCUCGGUGGGGACCUAGUUUGCCUUGCAAAGUGGUCUCAUUAUAAAUGCAUCAGCCUCUGCCGGUCUCACGCGCGCUGCCUUCAUUUAGCCCUCCGAGCUCGAUUACAUCUGAGGAUGUCUUGGGGUGUCUCCUGACCAGAGCAGAGCUUGGAUGGAGAAAUCCACCCCGCUUCAUGCGCAUCGUCUCCCGAGGGCCGUGUUUGUCCCCCUCCUGCCUUGCUGGAGAGCAUGCCAAGGAGGUAGCUGGAAGGAGAGAUGCUGAUCUGAGUUUUUUGGUCUGCGCCUGUGCUCAGCACACAGGAGGGAGGAUUAGUCACAGUUCACGCUGUCAUAAUAAAUUAAGGUGUAAGGACAACAAUAUAAUAGAAGUAAAGCACGUGCAAAAUAUUCUGCAUUUGUGGUAA